GGAUUGUGGCUCAGCGGUAGAAUGCUUGCCUAGCAUGUGCGAGGAGGCCCUGAGUUCGAUCCUCAGCACCA
This 71-nucleotide transfer RNA is filed under the name Marmota monax (woodchuck). RNAcentral's name for it is "tRNA.Ala". Lineage: Eukaryota; Metazoa; Chordata; Mammalia; Rodentia; Sciuridae. The record is from RNAcentral.